UACUGGCAGUUUAAUUAAGAACGAUAUACCCCUUGUAAACGUUAAGAACGUUAUGAAGCCAUGAAAGUCUCGCUUUUUUCUCAUCGUUUCGGUCGCCAUGGAAGACCGCGUGUUCUUCAUGGAAUACACUUUGCAGUUAUUUCAAUUUCACCGUUUCUCUUCCAAGUCAGUUAUUGAUAGGAUUUCCAAGAAAUAUGAUGGAUCCUCGAAAUGGCGUCGAAGAGGAUAUUGACGAGAGUGAUAUUUCGAAAGUCGAUGGAACAUCGGCGGAGCGAGAGUCAUACGUUAUAGGAGCAAAUUCCAGAAAUAAGAGAGACAAUUUGCUAUAUGACUUCCGCGGAAUAAAACGUAACGAGGGUGACAUUUGUCGAAGGAGGAUCAUUUGAACUGGCUAUUACAGAAACGGAAUGAAACAAUGGCGACUAUAGUCUACAGUCUGUCUUUCCCUUUGGGAAGAAGGAAAUGUCAGUUCUUAUCUAGUCGAGUCCUUUAAAGGAAGAAGAAGAAGAAGAAGAAGAAAAAUAAGGAAAGGAAGGCUUAACAUCUGUUGUAGAAAGAAGAAGUUUUGGAGUUGAGGAAAAGAAAAAUAGAAGGAUGAAGCAUAGAAUUCCAAAAAUAAUUAGAGUAAAAGAAGUUCUCUGUGAACGACGAACACACGUUUCUCGGUUAAUAAAACCUUGAUCGAGCAUCGACGAUCUACACCAAGAGAAAAAGAGGCAGAGAGAUAGAGAUAGAUAGAUAGACAGAUAGAUAGAGAAGGAGAGAGAGAGAGAGAGAGAGAGAGAGCUGCGUGAAAUUUGAGCUCACUGAAGUGCGGUGGCCUUCGAUCCUAUAUUUCGUUGUUCGUCGAUAAAGAGAAAGAGAGACACAAAGAGAAAGACUCGUUGAGGCUCGGCGUUCGACAAUGGGCAAUUUUCUCUGACCGGACGAGAAGUUUCGUGGUCAGCCUCGACUACGAUUAGAUAGGAACCAGGGUAAUGGCGGGAGGUUCAAUCUGCAUUCGUAAUGACGAACGUGGAAGGUGACACAGUGUCUGACCUCGGUGCAGUGACAUCGGCCAUCUAUUAACCCCUGGAGCCAUACGCCUGCUCUCGGUUCUCUGUCAUGGAGAGGAAGAGAGGAUGAGAGAGAGAGAGAGAGAGAGAGAGAGAGAGAGAGAGAGAGAGAGAGAGAGGAGUACCAACCAGUUGGAUCUCCCUUUACCACCCUGCUAAUGACCUCUUUGAACAUUGUCACCAUCCUACUAUUCUUAUCAUCAUUUCUCUUUUGAUUCAAUUCUAGAUAUUAAA
This is a long non-coding RNA of Vespa velutina, 1289 nucleotides long. RefSeq lists it as uncharacterized. The record is from RefSeq and is a predicted model, not a curated record. The transcript is spliced from 3 exons. NCBI's taxonomy places the organism in Eukaryota, Metazoa, Arthropoda, Insecta, Hymenoptera, Vespidae.